AGUCGCACUAAAUGUUUAGUACUUUUGAAAUGAUUUACAGGAAGCUUGUGUGAGUAACUGUUACAUUUUUUCAUUAACUAGUAAUAAUAAACCAGUAAUUACUUACAGACUUAUUGCCGAUUCACAAUUGAUCAUUCAAAAACAGAAUUUAUGCUAUUAAAGCUAAAAAUUUGGAUUGGUACUUUUACUUUGAAAGGAUAUUGAUGACACCUGUGCAGGUAAUUUCUAAACUUUAAGAUUGUCAUAUCAUAUAGUCACAAUACACCAGCUAAACGCAGAAAUAUUGCCAUUUUUAGCUAAAGAUCCGAAAUGGGGCUUUUAUUUUGAAAGGAUGUGGAGACGCUGUGUGUGCUUAAUAGCUAAACUGGAAAACAGUCACAUUAACCAGUCACGAUUACCCAUUCAAAAGCAUAAAUAGUCCUGUUAAAGGUAAUAAUUUGGAUUGGUGCUUUUAUUUUGAAAGAAUAUGGAAAAGGCCCGUGCAGAUAUUUGCUAAACAGUAUAUUAGUCUAAAUAACUAGUCAUAAUAUACCUGUUGAAAGCAGAACUAUUGUUAUCUUUAGCUAAAGAUCAGGAUUGGGGCUUUUAUUUUGAAAGGAUGUAGAGGGGCUGUGUGUGCUUAAUAGCUAAACUGUAAAACAGUCACACUAACCAGUCAUGAUUACCCAUUCAAAAGCAUAAAUAGAAAAGCCAAAAAGUUGGAUUGGUGCUUUUAUUUUGAAAAAUUCAGAGGAAGUGUCUGAUAAUUUACUAAACAAUCAGUGUAAUGAUGUAAUCAAUAAUAUGCAUAGAGCUAAGUAAAAACUGUGUCUGUAGUGACGAGUUAAAGACAGAAGUUGUAUCUUUAAAAAGCGUUCCCUCGCACUCUAGCUGUGACAUCACGCACUCUAGCUCACGCAAUACACACUAAUGGAAAAGUUGAGAAACAAACCAGUUGAAAGCAGAAAUAUUGCUAUAUUAUAUCUAAUUAACUAUUUGUAAUUAAUCAGUUGAAACAUUACUUAAACGAGCUAAUGAGUUGAAUGUAUAGCUGAUUGGAUCUGCAAAACAAAAGGUGCAAGCCAAGGACUGAAGCCAUUGAACCACAGUAUAUACUGUAGUCUGUAGUUGAAAGAGGACUCACUGUAGCUAAAGAGCUUUUUUCCACAUGGAGAGAGAUGUGUGUGUGUGUGUGUGUGUGUGUGUGUGUGUGUGUGUGUGUGUGUGUGUGUGUGUGUGUGUGUGAAUAUAACAUAUUUAUUGGUUCAAACAACGACUUGCGAGUUGCAACAGUCCCAAAACAGUGGACCUAAAGCAAAUGAGAAUAUUUUAUUACAAAAUCAUGCAUCAAUCAUUGCAAUUUCAAGUUUAACAUAUUGUAGUGGCUCACAGCAGUAAGUCCCGCCCUGAGCCGCUAAGGCUUACGGGUAAAACAACCGUUCUUGUGUUUGUAGUGUUAUAGUUAAAGUUAGGAUUCAAAAAUUGUUAUAACUUGUGAACGUGUGAAAAGGAAAUGGUGCUUGCUUUCUACAAAGGUAGUGCACCAAGCGGUGCUGUUAUUUUGUGUCUCAUUACCUGCACAGUCUAAUUUAAGCAGCUGAGACACGAAUGAUAUCACCUGUAGAUAAGUACAGGGUUUAUUUGGGCCUUCAGUUAAUUGGCCUCUUCACCUGAGCCAAAUGUGCAUAGUUCAUUAAAGAAUGAAAAUGCAUUAUUGAUUUUUUAUUUUACAAGCUGGAGGAUAAAGCUGAAAAGCAUUCUGUGAUUUAAAAAAAUUGAAAUAAAAAAAAGUAUUGUAUUUCAACACAAAGAUUAGUCUCUUAUGUCAAUAUGAAGAGCCUAAUUAAAAAAUUAUGCAUCAUUAAGGGUCACUCCUAUUAACACCACGUUCUGUUAUGGUGCAUUACCUACAUGCAUUGUGCUAUAAAUUUGCAUAUAUUGUUGAACGCUGUAAUGUUGACUUAAUUUCUUAAAAACACCCCCUCAACUAUUAGACAGACCGGGGGCCCGUUUCAAGAAGGAGGUUUUGUGGAAACUCUGAGUUUGUUAACCCUGAAAUGAGGAAAACUCUGAGUUUUCGGUUUCAGAAAGCGGGGUUACUUAAACCCGUAAAGCGGGGUAAGUUUAAGCCUGUUUCAAGAAGCGAGGUAAUCGAAACUCAGAGUCAGUUACUUUGGCAACUGACUCUGUGAACCAAACCUGGUCGCGAGCAGGUUUUAUUCGGGAAACCCAGAGUUUCCUUCGGUCUCCGUCCCUUUUUAAAGUGAACAGUGUUUAAAUACCUCGUUUAAUCUUUCAGUUCAUUCAUAGAUUUCACCUGUUUCCUUCGCGCAGAGACCAAAAUGUCCGUUUCUAGAGGAUCCUGUAGAUGAGGACGCUGUAUUAAUUCACACGGCAUUGAAUUUACGCCGCGAGAGGAUUUUAACGCCACGAGUUAAUUUUCUGUCAUAUCGCCGUGCAUAUUUUUUUGAGCGGUAACGUUUUUCUCGAGACUCCAUACAUAUAUUUAUAAUAUUAUUCACCCAUACGUCAAACACAUCACCCUUCGUGGCCGUGCUUUUACAUCCGAACAGAUUCUUUGUGUUGCGUUACGUUUUUUUUUUUGCAAACGGUAGUUUUCUUUAUAACUUUGGAGAUGCUGAGCACAUUAGUGAAGCCACUGUGUUAGAAAGUUCGACCUCAAGCGCUUUCCUUGACACAAACUCCUUAAAGCCAUUAAAGAGGAGUUUUCACAGGAUUGCAGGUAUGUGGUAAUUUGUUUCAUUGAGGCUAAUCUGAAAAAUGAUGAUCAGUUAAUAAUAUCUUGCUGUGAUCUGAAAUAAACUGAUAAAUGUGCAGGUGCACUGACUACUCUUUCUAAUGGUCACUGUAACUGACGUAUCAUUGUUUACAUCACCAAGAUCAUAUGUGAUGCUGCACAUAUCAUAAACGUGAACUCAUGAAUAUAUCGUGAGUCAACCCUAAAUAACAGGCUGCACUGUGGUAAGUACAUGUAUGUCCUAUACACUUAUUUCAAUGCAUGCACUACACACUCACAGGAACACUUCUAUGCAGCACUAAACUAAUGUGAACUUUCUUCUAGGAGAGAUUGACGACUUUCUGCUGGAGAUAAGGGUUAAUGGCAGCCCACACUACUGACCCCUCAGCCAGAACCUGAAGCAGGCCCCCAGCAGCGCUUUGUCACUGCAGAACAAGAGCCCGGGUGGAAAUGACCAUAGACCUGUUGAAAGCACGUCUUCAGUGCCUACGUCACCUCAGGGUAACAGCUGAGAGGCCUGUGACAUUAAUGUGGCAUGUGUUGUUCUCCACAUUAUUGCAAUUAUUAGAGAGAAGCAACACCCUGCCCUACAAAUACAGGACCCUGAGGAGACUCCUUCCAUCACAGUGAUCUGCAGAGUGGAUGGACAGAUUUGCUUUAAUGUCUUAAUCAACCAUCACCACCACCAAUAAAAGAAACUGAAUAGAUGUAAAUCAUAAUUUAUUUUUUUUUCAUUUCCUACAAAUACAAAGGCAAUUGUUAGAUUUUAUGAUUCUUCCAAUAAUUCAUACAAUUCACCUUUAACUAUACACUCAUCUCCAGCUUGUGUUUGGGAAUUUCAAUUUCUAGAUCUGGCUUUUCAAUCUUGUGGUACAAGUAUAACAUUUCCUUGAGAUUACGUUUAUACAACUCUGUAACCGGUAACUUAAAAUACAGAAGAUUUAGAGUUACAUGACAUCUUGACAUGACAUGUUCCUCAUUACUCUUACAGAAUUGAACUCUGGCAUUUACUGAACAUCACUGAACUGUGUGCAUCUGUGCAGCAGAAUGUGACUGACUAUACUUGGAGACACUAUACUUGGAGAUCAAGUUAAAUCCUUUAGGCUACGCAACACAAACAUCAGAAAUCAUGUGAUGUGUAUAAACUCUAUUAAUAUUACACUUUAUAAUACUGCUUAUAAUUUAAGCUUUAUUUAGUAGUAUACUUACAACAUCCUGGGUCAGAGGUGGAGGUGCAGGUCCUCCACCAGUUGUUCGAGCCUCUGCCUUCUUUCUGUUGGCUGAGUAGAAGUCAAAUGUUUAACUGUGUGAAAACAUUACAACCAUGUUGAAAAUGCUGCUGCACUACUAUACUCUGCAUGCUAUUUAGUUAUUUAAUAUGUCAAAUAUUGUAAAGUCAGGUAGUCUACACCCAUGACAUGAUGGUGCCUUAUACCUGUUUGAAUUAUGUUUUUACAUUUCAUUUUUAGCCACGUUCUGUCUGCAGGAUUGCGCCUACAUAAAAACUUAAAUUAAUUUCUUAUAUUAUUACGUGUUUUGGGUAAAUUUUAAAAACGUAAUUAGAUUAAUGUAAUAAUUGCUCUCCAUAAAAGGUAUUGGAUUAUUGAAUUAUCAUUACUUUACAAAUCCCACAUCAACCACAACAGGAAUUUUAAAAAUGCAUAGACAUAACACUGCACUUUUAAUUCAUACAAACGUCGGUAUUUGCAAUUACUGAAGUAACGCCUUAGAUGAGUGAAAAAGUCCUUACUUUACGAGUGAAAAAUAACAAUACUAAAAUUAUUUAGUAUUUAGUUACGCUGAACACUAUGAUUAAAAUGUAAACUUACGCAUUGACUCAAGGAGCUAUUUUCUUCCAAGCUAAUUCUUUCUCUUUCACCGCUGCAGCCGUGUUGCCUUUUCUACGGAAUAUAGACUCGUAGACGCUAUAUGCUUGAGGUAUCAUAUCCAUUUCCGGACCUCUUUUGUUGUGCUGUUGCCAUGGUGACUCGUAAUAUCUUCACUCCAUUGAUCAGGGCUUUGUACGCGCUUAACUCUGAGUCAGUCAACUCGGAGUUGCUUAAACCAACUCUUAUCAGCUGUUUUGAAACCGAAAACUCCAGGUUUGUAAACUCAGAGUAAAUCAACUCAAAGUUUAGUUUAAACUCAGAGUUUGUUAAACCUCCUUCAUGAAACGGGCAACAGGUAGUUUAAAAAAAGCUAAAGAUGUAUGUCUACACCUGCUCUUAUGGGGAAUCAACAAUGCAAUGAACUCAUCAAUAAUAUGCAUAGAGCUGCUUUGAGCAUUAGGACUUUGACUUGUAAGUCAAAGUGCUACUGAGCUCAAUCCCUUAUCUGCUGCAGCUGCGCCGUUGUCAUGGAACAGGCUUCAAUGAGCAUUAAGGAUAGUUCAAAGAGAUCUGACGAAAGAGAAGAGAAGAGAAGAGAAGAGAAGAGAAGAGAAGAGAAGAGAAGAGAAGAGAAGAGAAGAGAAGAGAAGAGAAGAGAAGAGAAGAGAAGAAGAAAUGCUAAAAUGAAGAAAGUAUGUAAAGGAUUGCUGAACUUGAUGAAACAUAGUUGAAUGUAUCUAAAUAGGUAAAUAGAGUCCAAGAGCUGAAAGAAUAGUUGAAUGUUGUGGAAACAUUUAAAACAGCUGACAGUAGCUGCUAAUUAACUAUUUCUAAUAAUCAGUUGAAACAUUACUGAAACUAGCCAAUGAGUUGAAUGUAUAGCUGAUCUGAUCUGCAAAGAAGUUGCAGAGCUAAAUGUGAAGAAAUAAAACAAAAGCAGAUUGAUUUCAAUAAAAACUAUAAAGUGUUUCACACAUGACUACAGUGCUGUAAAGGCUUCUUCUGAAAAUUGUUGAAAUACUUGUUCCAGUCAGGUUUCGAACCAAGAAUUCCUAAAUCAGAGUCAUGCUCUUUAGCUACUCAGACACAUUACCUGCUUAAAUCAGUGCUCAGACGAGCUGUAUACAUACUACUGGAAAAACUGAAACUUUCUAAAUUUUUUUAUAUAUAUAAUAUAGAUUACUAAUAUAGUAACACAUUAAGCUUCCAUCCAUGUUCCAUACCGCUUAAUUCCAUCGGCGGGUUCGUGGGGGUGCUGGAGCCUAUGGGUGAUAGGCAGCGUACACCCUGGACAGGUCACCAUCCCAUCGCAGGGCUAAUACAUUAAGAAUAUAGAUCAAUUUAUCUAGGAAAUACAAACACUUGUAUUACAAUGAUUGCAUGAUCAUGAGUCAGACAGGAAUCGAAACAAGAACCCUCGCUCCAAAGACAAGAACUUACACCAUUCAGCUAAGGGAUAUAACAAGCAAAUGACGACAUAGCUGAAGAGCUUCCUCCAGAUGGAAAGAAAUGCUUAGUCAUUUUAACAUGUUUAUUUUUUUAAACAAAGACUUGAAUGUUACAACAGUCUCAAAGGUGUAAACCCAAGCAAAUGAGAAUAUUUAAAUACAAAAUCAUGCAUCAAUCAUUGCAAUUUCAGUUUUAACAUAUUGUAGUGGCCCACAGCGGUUAGUCUUUUUUUUGUGUUCUUUUUUUUAUAUUUUACAGUAUAAUAAAAACCCACACUGAGUUAUAUAUUUAAUAUAUCAGCAACUUUUGGCUAUAUUAUAAAAGGAUCAUUUGUCACUAGUCAUUAACACUGUUUUACAAUUACAUACAUCCAUAUGAACAAAUCACUAACGAACUGGGGCGCUUGCUGCUCCCUACAGAGACUGCGCUCUGCUGACACGUGACAAGUGAACGAACGAACGAUCCAUAUGAAUGAAUCAUAUGAACUGUAGUACUUGGUGCUGCCAGAGAGCCUGAGCUGUGAACGAUGAACAAUAAUGAUGAACUAAACCGUGCAGCCCGAGCUGCCUUUCACGUGGCGGCUGGUAGUGAACAAGUGAAAGUAAAACUUAUUUUGACAAUUAGUGAGACUUUUAAAGCAAAAAGUAACAAUAACUUCCUUAAAAUAUUUACCUGGUGCAUUUAUCUUGGCCAAAAUGUGACAUUAUUAUUAUUGUUUUUUUUUUUAUAUAUUUUGGCAGAAUAUACAGGACCACAAAAACAACAUGUUGAUAUGUUGAUAUAAUGUUUGCAAGUAUUUAUUUACAAACACACUUUACAUUAUAUACACAAUUAAACUACACACAUCUACAAGAAUCAAAGACCGCUAAUUAAUUAUGAUUCCAUGAAUAAAUAAUGCAUGUCAGGCGUCAGGUGAUAAAUAAAUAAACGUCAGAAACCAGACAUGGUUCAUGGACGCCCAGCUUUUACAAAAUGGUAGUAGAAGUUAAACAACAGCAUUCAUUACCCAAAAAUAUGAAUCCAGCCUUUAUGAGCCUGCUCCAAAUACCUGGAAAAGACCCUACACUCCCAUCAAGUUAUAGACCAAUUUCACUAAUAAAUGUAGAUUUAAAAAUAGUGUG
This is a long non-coding RNA of Betta splendens (Siamese fighting fish), 7136 nucleotides long. RefSeq lists it as uncharacterized. The record is from RefSeq and is a predicted model, not a curated record. NCBI's taxonomy places the organism in Eukaryota, Metazoa, Chordata, Actinopteri, Anabantiformes, Osphronemidae. The transcript is spliced from 2 exons.